UGGUAAUGGGAUGGUGUAGUGUAUAAUCCCGCUGCAGAUUUCUAUUCCAAGAGAAGACGUAAUUUAUACCUUGUCUAAUUAGUAAAGAUAUUGCCAUUGUGAGAGUAUGAGAAUUAGUUGUGAUAGAUCAAAUGCCUGCUACUCAUGUGAGUUUAUGGCUGUAAUACUUUCAUGCGUUGUCUACUUAAAACAGGUUUAGCUCUAGGAUUCCCUUUGACUGCCUUGUUACAGAAUGUCAGAGCGAAAUUGUCCUACCUCUCAACUGGUGAUUGUUCUGUAUGGUAACAUGAGCAGUGUGGCCUGACUUCCCCCUUAUUACAGAUGUCCGGUAUAGAUAUGUUGAGCAUCCUGCUAUGAUGUCUAUCACCAAGCUGGAACACUCAGAGGCCAACCCUCAGAGCCAGACUUGCAGUUGUCCGGUGUCUUAGCCUGAGAUGUCUGCUGGCUCAGCUGGGUCUUUGGGAUUGGAAAGGUUAAUGAGGAGGUUCAUCUACCUGAGGAUAGAGGCAUAUCUGUCUGGAAGCUGUUAUUAAUAUUAUUUAUAGAAACAAUUGAGUGGAAUAAUAUUUUUAUCUGCGGCUUGAUUUACAUUGUUAUUGUCUUCUUCCUUAGAUUGACCGGGAUCCAACUCUGCACAGAUGGGUCGACAAAACUGAGCCCAUGUCUGACGUAUACACUUAAAUUCAAUUCAAUUUAAAGCAGUGAAAGACUGUUGUAUUUCAACUGUGAGAAUGGUCCAAAUCAUUUAAAAACAAGCUUGCACCACCACCUCCACCGAUGAGGAUGUAUGGAUAUCAGGGGAACUCUGGUAGUCUCCCCAAAGGAAUGAAUCCUUACUAUAUGAAAGGUGAAUAAUGCUUUAUCUCCAAGACUGUACCAAAGCUGCAUAUCUGGACCCUGCUUGCACUUGCUAUAGCUUACAUUAUGGCAAUUAAGGUCAAAGUGAUUAAACUGCUAAGUACUUUUUGUGGGAUAGGAAAAAACCCAGGAUUAAUAUGAAGAAGAUGUGCUCACCAAGGGAUGUAGGAGGCUUGGCUUUACCAGAUGUUAAAUUGUCCAAUUUACCAUUUGAAAUGGCUAAAUUGGUGAAGCAAUGGGGCAAAAUGGGUGCUGGCUUGGAUUGGAUAACAAUAGAACGGGAACUAAGUUAUCCUUCCACCCCUGUUGAUACUCUGUUACAUAGUCUUUACAGGGGAGAGGUCUGUUGAUACUCUGUUACAUAGUCUUACAGGGGAGAGGUCUGUUGAUACUCUGUUACAUAGUCUUACAGGGGAGAGGUCUGUUGAUACUCUGUUACAUAGUCUUACAGGGGAGAGGUCUGUUGAUACUCUGUUACAUAGUCUAACAGGGGAGAGGUCUGUUGAUACUCUGUUACAUAGUCUUUACAGGGGAGAGGUCUGUUGAUACUCUGGUACAUAGUCUUUACAGGGGAGAGGUCUGUUGAUACUCUGUUACAUAGUCUAACAGGGGAGAGGUCUGUUGAUACUCUGUUACAUAGUCUUCCAGGGGAGAGGUCUGUUGAUACUCUGUUACAUAGUCUUACAGGGGAGAGGUCUGUUGAUACUCUGUUACAUAGUCUUACAGGGGAGAGGUCUGUUGAUACUCUGUUACAUAGUCUUUACAGGGGAGAGGUCUGUUGAUACUCUGGUACAUAGUCUUACAGGGGAGAGGUCUGUUGAUACUCUGUUACAUAGUCUAACAGGGGAGAGGUCUGUUGAUACUCUGUUACAUAGUCUAACAGGGGAGAGGUCUGUUGAUACUCUGUUACAUAGUCUAACAGGGGAGAGGUCUGUUGAUACUCUGUUACAUAGUCUUACAGGGGAGAGGUCUGUUGAUACUCUGUUACAUAGUCUUUACAGGGGAGAGGUCUGUUGAUACUCUGGUACA
This 1887-nucleotide long non-coding RNA is filed under the name Salmo salar (Atlantic salmon). RNAcentral describes it as "lncRNA (ENSSSAG00000088916.1, ENSSSAG00000110194.1)". Lineage: Eukaryota; Metazoa; Chordata; Actinopteri; Salmoniformes; Salmonidae. The record is from RNAcentral.